RNAcentral lists this long non-coding RNA (479 nucleotides) under Phoenix dactylifera (date palm). Its description in RNAcentral is "long non-coding RNA (PDAC_LNC008886)". Lineage: Eukaryota; Viridiplantae; Streptophyta; Magnoliopsida; Arecales; Arecaceae. The record is from RNAcentral.
GCGUGGAAACAAAAAUCUAGCCGUUAGAGACAAAAAUAGAGCCGUUGGAGUCAAGAAAAAACUAGCCGUUAUGCCUCCCAGCGUGCUAGAGUCACUCGGCUGAAGCAGGAGUCGACUCGGCUGAAGCAGGAGUCGACUCGGCUGAAAUAGGAGUCGACUCGUGAAUAGUAGUCUGCCGGCACUGUAGCUGGGAGUCGACUUCGCACUGUAGCGCUGAAGUUGGAGUCGACUCGAGCACUGUAGCGCUGAAAAACAACUCUCUGUCUUUUUGCCUGUUCUUAGUCGGAGUCGACUCGUAGAGUCCCGGAGUCGACUCGAGCACUGUUCCUUGAAACUCCAGAGUGCCAGAGUCGACUCUAAACUUUCAGGAGUCGACUCGAGGACUAUUCUUUUGAAUCUUUCUUUAAAUUUGCUCCUCCAACUUGAAUUCUUUGAACUUGAAACUUGGGCCAAUGAAGUGUAGGUUUCUUCCAACUUUU